This is a long non-coding RNA of Homo sapiens (human), 563 nucleotides long. The record is from Ensembl. Lineage: Eukaryota; Metazoa; Chordata; Mammalia; Primates; Hominidae.
GCACGCGGACCACGCGGCCAUGCCGGGGUCCCUCCAGGAGGCGGAAGCGCGGCACACUGCCUGUGCGGUUGGCCAGCUCGCCAGCAUCUAGGACGGUGGGGUCCAGGCGCAGGGUGGCACCCUGGGGCCAUGGCCCACCUGCCCACACAUGCAGCAGAGCCCUCACAGUGACGUUCACUACGGCUGAUGCAUUGACACCCCUAGCCAGUGCCAGGACUCUGAAGUGGUCAUGAGAGGAGGAGAAGUUGGUGAAGGCAAAGACCACCUCGCCCUGGUCUAUCUGGAAUUGGCUGAAGGCCGAGGUGGGCCGCCCGCCCACCAGGAGAUGCCCAUACUGGGGUCCCUGGAUGAGGCGGUAUGCUGCCUCUGGCUCCUCCCGAUCUGAAACCACCCGGAGCUGCUGCUGGCUCAGUGAGGAGCGCCCCAAAGCUUGGGGCACCUCCAGGGGUGCCCGCAGCUGCACCUCGAUGGCGGAUGGUAGGAUGUCCACAGCCAGGGACAUGGGCAGGGGUGGGCACGAAAGUGGAAGCCAUCCUGCUGGGUGCCCCCACCGCCGUGGGCAU